RNAcentral lists this ribosomal RNA (455 nucleotides) under uncultured bacterium. RNAcentral describes it as "bacterial SSU rRNA". It matches the Rfam family "Bacterial small subunit ribosomal RNA", at positions 340 to 786 of the family's 1533-position model. The record is from RNAcentral.
UACGGAAGGCAGCAGUGGGGAAUAUUGCACAAUGGGCGCAAGCCUGAUGCAGCCAUGCCGCGUGUAUGAAGAAGGCCUUCGGGUUGUAAAGUACUUUCAGUCGUGAGGAAGGUGUUAGGGUUAAUAACCUUAGCAAUUGACGUUAGCGACAGAAGAAGCACCGGCUAACUCCGUGCCAGCAGCCGCGGUAAUACGGAGGGUGCGAGCGUUAAUCGGAAUUACUGGGCGUAAAGGGCACGCAGGCGGUUAAUUAAGUUGGAUGUGAAAUCCCCGGGCUUAACCUGGGAAUGGCAUUCAAGACUGGUUAGCUAGAGUCUUGUAGAGGGGGUAGAAUUCCAUGUGUAGCGGUGAAAUGCGUAGAGAUGUGGAGGAAUACCGGUGGCGAAGGCGGCCCCUGGACAAAAGACUGACGGCUCAUGUGCGAAAGCGUGGGGAGCAAACAGGGAUUAGAUACC